RNAcentral lists this ribosomal RNA (1490 nucleotides) under uncultured Sunxiuqinia sp. Its description in RNAcentral is "bacterial SSU rRNA". It matches the Rfam family "Bacterial small subunit ribosomal RNA". Lineage: Bacteria; Pseudomonadati; Bacteroidota; Bacteroidia; Marinilabiliales; Prolixibacteraceae. The record is from RNAcentral.
AUGAAGUUUGAUUCCUGGCUCAGGUAUGAACGCUAGCGGGAGCGCCUAACACAUGCAAGUCGAACGGUGAUUGGGAGCUUGCUCCCAUGAGAGUGGCGCACGGGUGAGUAACGCGUAUGCAACCUGCCUUUAACUGAGGGAUAGCCCAUAGAAAUGUGGAUUAAUACCUCAUAGUUCUGAGAGAUCGCAUGAUUUUUCAGAUAAAGCUCCGGCGGUUAAAGAUGGGCAUGCGUGACAUUAGCUAGUUGGUGAGGUAACGGCUCACCAAGGCUACGAUGUCUAGUAUUUCUGAGAGGAUGAUCCCCCACACUGGUACUGAGACACGGACCAGACUCCUACGGGAGGCAGCAGUGAGGAAUAUUGGUCAAUGGGCGCAAGCCUGAACCAGCCAUCCCGCGUGAAGGAUGAAGGUCCUAUGGAUUGUAAACUUCUUUUAUACACCAAGAAUUACUCGAACGUGUUCGAGCCCGACGGUAGUGUAUGAAUAAGCAUCGGCUAACUCCGUGCCAGCAGCCGCGGUAAUACGGAGGAUGCAAGCGUUAUCCGGAUUCAUUGGACUUAAAGUGUGCGUAGGCGGCUCUUUAAGUCAGUGGCGAAAUCCUGCCGCUUAACGGUAGAAUUGCCAUUGAUACUGAAGAGCUUGAGUACAGUUGAGGUAAGCGGAAUGUGUAGUGUAGCGGUGAAAUGCUUAGAUAUUACACAGAGUCCCGAUUGCGAAGGCAGCUUACUAAACUGUUACUGACGCUGAUGCACGAAAGCGUGACGAGCGAACAGGAUUAGAUACCCUGGUAGUCCACGCCGUAAACGAUGCUCACUCGCUGUUUGCGAUACACAGCAAGCGGCCAAGCGAAAGCAUUAAGUGAGCCACCUGGACUGUACGAUCGCAAGGUUGAAACUCAAAGGAAUUGACGGGGGCCCGCACAAGCGGAGGAACAUGUGGUUUAAUUCGAUGAUACGCGAGGAGAGUUACCUGGGCUUAAAUGUAGAGCGACAGCUUGCUCAAGCAGGCUUUCUUCGAUCGAUCUACAAGCGUGCUAUAUGGCUUGUCGUCAGCUCGUGCUCGUGAGGUGUCGGCGUUAAGUCCCAUAACGAGCGCAACGCCUUAUCGUUAGUUGCCAGCGGGUCAUGCCGGGGACUCUAGCGAGACUGCCACCGUAAGGUGUGAGGAAGAGCGGGAUGACGUCAAAUCAGCACGGCCCUUAUGUCCAGGGCUACACACGUGUUACAAUGGCCGAUACAAAGGGCAGCUACCAGGUGACUGGAUGCUAAUCUCUAAAGUCGGUCUCAGUUCGGAUCGAAGUCACCAACCCGACUUCGUGAAGCUGGAUUCGCUAGUAAUCGCAUAUCAGCCAUGAUGCGGUGAAUACGUUCAUGUGCCUUGUACACACCGCCCGUCAAACAAUGGAAGCUGGGGGUACCUGAAGUCUGUAACCGCAAGGAGCGGCCUAGGGUAAAACUAGGCACUGGUGUUAAGUGGUAACCUGGUAACC